GACGAACGCUGGCGGCGUGCUUAACACAUGCAAGUCGAACGGAAAGGCCCUGCUUGCAGGGUACUCGAGUGGCGAACGGGUGAGUAACACGUGGGUGAUCUGCCCUGCACUUCGGGAUAAGCCUGGGAAACUGGGUCUAAUACCGGAUAGGAGCCAUUUUUAGUGUGAUGGUUGGACAGUUUUUUCGGUGUAGGAUGAGCUCGCGGCCUAUCAGCUUGUUGGUGGGGUAAUGGCCUACCAAGGCGGCGACGGGUAGCCGGCCUGCGAGGGUGGACGGCCACAUUGGGACUGAGAAACGGCCCAGACUCCUACGGGGGGCAGCAGGGGGGAAAAUUGCACAAAGGGAGCAAGCCUGAUGCAGCGACGCCGCGUGGGGGAUGACGGCCUUCGGGUUGGAAACUCCUUUCGCUAGGGACGAAGCUUUUUGUGACGGUACCUAGAUAAGAAGCACCGGCUAACUACGUG
This 465-nucleotide ribosomal RNA is filed under the name uncultured bacterium. RNAcentral describes it as "partial 16S ribosomal RNA". It matches the Rfam family "Bacterial small subunit ribosomal RNA", at positions 28 to 507 of the family's 1533-position model. The record is from RNAcentral.